AUCCUUCGAUUUCAUGAGUGUGAUGAUUGGGUGUUCAUGCCGUAUGCAUGAGUUGUGCCUCCCUCAAACCUUGUUAUAACCUUAAACAUUACCCUUCUGAUG
This is a small nucleolar RNA of Heterocephalus glaber (naked mole-rat), 102 nucleotides long. The record is from Ensembl. Lineage: Eukaryota; Metazoa; Chordata; Mammalia; Rodentia; Bathyergidae.